RNAcentral lists this long non-coding RNA (4392 nucleotides) under Jatropha curcas. RNAcentral's name for it is "long non-coding RNA (JCUR_LNC003608)". The record is from RNAcentral. Lineage: Eukaryota; Viridiplantae; Streptophyta; Magnoliopsida; Malpighiales; Euphorbiaceae.
UACACAAGUAAAUAAUCUUACAGCCCAAGUCUUCCACAGAUUUUGGAAGAGACAAAAGGGGCAAAUGGGUAGAAAACAAUCUUGGAGAGGUAAAACUAGAAAAAUCAGGAGAAUCAGUAUCAAUACAUACCAUGUCCAAGAAAGGAAGAAGAACAUGAGGAUUAUUAGUAAGCAAAGGGUGGUUUUCUUUAGGAUUAGGAAAACGAACUCGGUUCAUCAAAGCAAAGGUUAGUGCUUUUAACCAAGUUGUGCCUGAUUUAGGAGUAGUAAUAAGGAAGAUAUCGCUUUCUUGAGCUUGAAAAUGGUUUUGACAAGUUACAACACCUUUUAGUAGCCUAGUUGAAUGCCAAAACCCUUGGUAUUGAUGGAGAUGAUUUGCGACCCAACCCUUUUCAGUUGGUAGGGAGACUAUGAAGUCUCUAAAAUCUUGAGAAAAUUCUUUUUAUUGCAAGUAAGCAGCAAGAGAUUCAAGUGUUUGCAUGGUUGUAGUAAAUUAUGGUCUAUAGUUAUUAUUUUCUUUGUGUUGUUCUUGGUUUGGUUAUGUAUGUAUAUACACAGCGGUUCCCAUUUGCAAUAUAUAUAAAAAUUACUAUAAUAUAUAAUAGUAAAUUACAAUUUAGUCUUUAAGGUUUGAUUAUAUCACAACUUCCAUCUCUCUUGUAAUGUUGCUUGAAUCGUAGAAAUAUUGACAAUAUUUUUUUAUCUAAAAAAUUAAAAUAUUAUACACACACAUAACCUAAGCGAUUUUAUGGAAUUAAAAAAAACCAACAAGCUCUGAACAAAUCUAGGUUAGGUUAAUAAUACAAAAUCAGACAAAUUUAUGUCUCUAUGAAUAUUUAAAAUUCAUGAAAAUUAUAUUCUAAAGUCCCAUUUCUGCAUUGUAUAUUGUAAUCCACUCUCAGCUACUUAUAGACACACUAGCAUCAUCAGGUGUAUAUAUAUAUAAUUUUCAAAUUAAAGUGCCACUAAUUGUUGAAUUAUUGCAUCCUCAAAAAAUAAAAAAUUGUUGAAUGAAGACAUAAUUGUACAUAAUAAUUAAUAAAGAUCCAAAGACGGUACAUUCGUAUUUAUAAUAAUUGACAAUGCAGCAGAAAAUGUAAACAAAUAUAAGCAAAACAACAAAUUCAUGGCUACUAAUACUACAAGAAAAAGAGGCAACAUUAUGCUUAUACUUGGAAAGAGAGUACCCUCAGUCAUAGUAAUAAGCCAGGGCAAUUUAUAUACAGAGUGAUAAUUAAAUAAUAUUAUAUUAUUAUUAUUAUUAUUAUUAUAAAUACCUUCUUUCCUUCGCAAGCAAUUUUUAUUACAUAUCAAUCUACAAGCAAAACAACCAUUGAUUAAUCUAAAUUCGUAUUUUAAAUGUUUUCCUUGUGUUGUUUUUGGUUUUGGUUAUGUGUUUAUAUACAGAGUGAUUCUCAUUUGCAAUAUAUAUAUAUAAAUUUCUCAAUAUAUAAAGGUAAGUAACUAUUUAGUCCCUCAAUUUCAAUCAUAUUAUAAUUUCAUCUCUCAUAUUUGGUAAAUAAAUAACCCUUUAAAAUUUUAGUUUCAUUAAACUAUUUAGUUUUUCUAUUUAAAAAAGUACUUAUUCAGAAGUUAAAUAUCUCGUACUACUUUUGAUUACUUGGUUAUUCAUUUUUAAUAUACUUUUACUAUUUAGUUUCUCACAUUUACUAUUGUAUUACAAUCUAGUCCUUCACUUAAUGGUACAAAUAGCACUUUUUGGAUGAAGAACUAUAAAUAGUUUAAUAGAACUAAACUAGGGAUGAAAUAAUAAUUACAAUCUUCUCUCUUUCAAUUUUAGUUAUCCUUUGUUACUUAUCAAUCCACUCUCAAUGAAUUAUAAUCAUUCAACUCAAUAAGAUGUUAACAUUGCUUAAAAUUUUUUAUUUUUAGUUUUUAAUUUCAUUAAAUGCUUCUCAAAAGUCAAAAUACAUAAAAUUUGAAAGUUUUGUAAAUUUUGGAAGAGCAAGAUGGACCAGGCCAGGCCCAAAUUAGGUGGGGCUUCUUGGGAUUUAGGCCUCGAUUGAGCCUUAGCUGUUACUUAAUGGUGAAAAUAACACUUUUGGAUGAAUAAUUAUAAAUAGUUUAAUAAAACUAACUUUAAGAUUAAUUAAUAUAUUUAUCAGGGACGUAAUAAUAAUUAUGACCAACUAUUAGUUAUUUAUUCUAUAAAUGUGAAAUUCCACCCCACUCAUUCUUAGGUAUCUAUCUCUAUUUUGUCAGGACAUCUUGCUGAUAGUGAGCCAAGCACCUAAGCUUUGCUAAUUAAUUAUUGUGGUCUUAUUUAGUAAUUUGAUAAUAUUUUUUAUCUAAAAAAUGAUUUUAUUCAUUAAAAAACAAGAUUUGUAUGCACACAUAUAAGCAAGAAUAAGUAAAAAUUUUUAAGUCAUGACCUAAGGGAUACUAUUAAAAUUAAAACGAACUGACUACAUCCAAAUAAAUCGAAUUAUGUUAGAUUUUUUUUUUUUUGAAUAUUAGGAGAGCAGAUUCGAACAUGAAUCUAUUGUCAGAUCAUAAAUACACUUACUCUUAAAUUAUAUCUUGAUGUACCGAAUUAAGUUAGAUCAGCAAUAUAAUAAAGCAAUAGUAAAAUAAGACAAAUUAUGUCUAUUAAUACUAAAAAUUCUAGAAAAUUAGAUACCUCUCUUCUUCUCUAUAUAUAUCUAUCUAUAGUAGCUUGAUAAAAAAAAUAUCUACCAAUUUCACUUAAAUUAAUCAACUUAUGUGCAGCUUGAUUUCCUUUACGAAAAAAAUGCAAGAUAGUAUCUUAUCAUUCACUGUGUAGGAACUGAUGAAUACUAUCAUUAUUGUCUUUUGUAACUUGAAAGUAAUUAGAAAGUUGAUUAGCAUAUUAAACACAUUAAAAUUAUACUUUUAAAAAAAUAAUUUACUUGGAAGUGCACUUCUCAUAAAGUAUUCUUCUUGGAAAAUAGAUUGUUUGAAAUCAAACAAGGCCUUUGUUUUCACCACCCAACUUUCCUAAGCAUCUUAGUAUUCUGGAAAAUACUUAUUUAGACCGGAUUUAUAAUUACAUCUUAAAUCCUUUUUGUGUGAUUUAGCAUGUAAAUGGAAGAAUAUUUAAUUAUUUAUUCUAUCUUUUUUGUGUAUCAAAAACCUUUAAUGGAAAGUGAUAGUUGUUCCAGAAGUCGUACUAUACUGUUAUAUAAUGAGAUCAAAUUAAAAUUAAAAAUUUCACAAAUUGGUCAAUUAAUUUUAUAGUGCUUUUUUAAGUAUCUCGAAGAUUAAAAAUGUUGCUAUAUGAUUAUUAAUUAUUUUCAAGCAAUUUUUUUUUUUUUUACAUUGUUUGCUAUUUGAUGACUUUUAGUGAUUAAUCAAUUUAAUCAUUUUAUAAUAAUCACCAUGUUAAUUAGCCUUGCAAAAUUACAGAAACCCUAAUAUUGGCUUAUUAUCCACUAGCAAAUGAAUAAUUAAACUGGAAAGUUAACAAUGAUAAUUCAAUCAUUUAGAAAAUUUUAAUUAAAUAUUAUUUUCUUUUCAAAUGAAGAUAUUAUUGUACAUAAUAAUUAACAAAGAUCCAAAGAUGGUACAUUCGUAUUUAUAAUAAUUGACAAUGCAACAGAAAAUGUAAACAAAUAUAAGCAAAACAACAGAUUCAUGGUUACUAAUACUUCAAGAACAAGAGGCAACACUAUGCUUAUACUUAGAAAGAGAGUACCCUCAAUCAUAGUAAUAAACCAGGCAACUUUUCUUUAGUGAUGUGGUCCAAUUUUUCCAUCAUCUCAUUUGUCAGGUAAUUCUUGUAAUCUCCUAUCACACCCCGCCGGAAAAAGACGCUAUUUUCCUGGCCGGACGGUAAUUUUCCGAUUUUGUUCACCUCUAAAUUGCUCAAAUUAUCAAAACUACACAAAUUUAAGAUUUCAUCAAUUACUCCGCAAUUUUCUUCUUCUUUUGAAAAUGGACACUUUAAAAAUUCAGAUAAUUUCUUUAAAUGGAAUUUAGGAUCUUUCUUCAAAUCUUCAUAUUUCAAAAACAAAACCCUUUUAGGAUUUUCCAAACUUUGCUUCCAAUACCCCAAAACAUGAUCCCAAAAUGGCCCAUAAAAACUCAGACCUCUACAAAACUUAUCAAAAGCAUCUUCAAGUGAAUUUUCACCUUUGUCUUUAGGCCUUAACCUAUUUGUAAAAUGAUAAAAAGAAAUAAAAGUGUCUUUGGUGUUUCUACACAAGUAAACAAUCUUACAGCCCAAGUCUUCCACAGAUUUUGGAAGAGACGAAAGCGGCAAAUGGGUAGAAAACAAUCUUGGAGAGGUAAAACUAGAAAAAUCAGGAGAAUCAGUAUCAAUACAUACCAUGUCCAAGAAAGGAAGAAGAACAUGAGGAUUAUUAGUAAGCAAAGGGUGGUUUUCUUUAGGAUUAGGAAAACGAACUCGGU